Molecule: ribosomal RNA, 395 nt
Filed under: uncultured bacterium
Lineage: Bacteria
Description: bacterial SSU rRNA
Rfam family: Bacterial small subunit ribosomal RNA
Source: RNAcentral
AGGGAAUAGAUACCCUGGUAGUCCACGCCGUAAACGAUGGAUACUUGUUGUUGGAGGUAUUGACCCCUUCAGUGACGAAAGCUAAACGCGUUAAGUAUUCCGCCUGGGGAGUACGGCCGCAAGGUUAAAACUCAAAGAAAUUGACGGGGGUCCCGCACAAGCGGUGGAGCAUGUGGUUCAAUUCGAUGCAACGCGCAGAACCUUACCUAGGUUUGACAUGUAAUGGAAGACUGGCAGAGAUGCCGUCGCCCGCAAGGGCCGUUACACAGGUGCUGCAUGGCUGUCGUCAGCUCGUGUCGUGAGAUGUUGGGUUAAAGUCCCGCAACGAGCGCAACCCCGUAUGUUUAGUUGCCAGCAUUCAGUUGGGCACUCUAGACAGACUGCCGACGUUAAGU